This 392-nucleotide ribosomal RNA is filed under the name Escherichia coli. Its description in RNAcentral is "bacterial SSU rRNA". It matches the Rfam family "Bacterial small subunit ribosomal RNA", at positions 1 to 389 of the family's 1533-position model. The record is from RNAcentral. Lineage: Bacteria; Pseudomonadati; Pseudomonadota; Gammaproteobacteria; Enterobacterales; Enterobacteriaceae.
AAAUUGAAGAGUUUGAUCAUGGCUCAGAUUGAACGCUGGCGGCAGGCCUAACACAUGCAAGUCGAACGGUAACAGGAAGAAGCUUGCUUCUUUGCUGACGAGUGGCGGACGGGUGAGUAAUGUCUGGGAAACUGCCUGAUGGAGGGGGAUAACUACUGGAAACGGUAGCUAAUACCGCAUAACGUCGCAAGACCAAAGAGGGGGACCUUCGGGCCUCUUGCCAUCGGAUGUGCCCAGAUGGGAUUAGCUUGUUGGUGGGGUAACGGCUCACCAAGGCGACGAUCCCUAGCUGGUCUGAGAGGAUGACCAGCCACACUGGAACUGAGACACGGUCCAGACUCCUACGGGAGGCAGCAGUGGGGAAUAUUGCACAAUGGGCGCAAGCCUGAUGC